This 468-nucleotide ribosomal RNA is filed under the name uncultured bacterium. Its description in RNAcentral is "partial 16S ribosomal RNA". It matches the Rfam family "Bacterial small subunit ribosomal RNA", at positions 28 to 507 of the family's 1533-position model. The record is from RNAcentral.
GACGAACGCUGGCGGCGUGCUUAACACAUGCAAGUCGAACGGAAAGGCCCUGCUUUUGUGGGGUGCUCGAGUGGCGAACGGGUGAGUAACACGUGAGUAACCUGCCCUUGACUUUGGGAUAACUUCAGGAAACUGGGGCUAAUACCGGAUAGGAGCUCCUGCUGCAUGGUGGGGGUUGGAAAGUUUCGGCGGUUGGGGAUGGACUCGCGGCUUAUCAGCUUGUUGGUGGGGUAGUGGCUUACCAAGGCUUUGACGGGUAGCCGGCCUGAGAGGGUGACCGGCCACCUUGGGACUGAGAUACGGCCCAGAAUCCUACGGGAGGCAGCAGUGGGGAAUAUUGCACAAUGGGCGGAAGCCUGAUGCAGCAACGCCGCGUGCGGGAUGACGGCCUUCGGGUUGUAAACCGCUUUCGCCUGUGACGAAGCGUGAGUGACGGUAAUGGGUAAAGAAGCACCGGCUAACUACGUG